AUCGCGGUUUCAUCGUGUGCGCAUAAAUGCACGGCAAUUAGUUUAUUUAAAACUGUCGAUAUGGCUAUGUCUAGUAUUUUAUUAAUACGAAAAGGUUUUUCAGUAAACGGUUUUAGAAGUUUAUGGACUUGUAGGGCAUUACUGGCAGAUCAAGCUGAAAAUGUUAAUGCACAACAAGCAAAUCAGGAACAUAGUAAGGAAAGUGAUGAGGAAUAUGAGAAGAAUAUCAAAUCAAAAAUUCUUGAUGCAUCUUUGAAGUAUGUUCAUGAUCUGGGAUGGAGCCAGCAGGCCAUCAGUGCUGGUGCUGAGUCUAUUGGAUAUCCUGGUGUAAUUCAUGGAUUGUUCCCUAAUCGAGGAGCAGAUUUGGUUCAGUAUUUUUACUUAACAUGUAACAAAGAGUUAAAUAAAAUUCUUAAAGAACAAUCUGAUGCUAUUGAAGAAUAUUCUACUAAGGAAAAAAAGACACUAGAAUUACAAGUACGCGAUGCUGUUGAGACAAGACUUAGAAUGGUGAUCCCAUAUAAGAAAACAUGGCCACAAGCUUUAGCACUCAUGGCACUCCCACCAAAUGCACCAAUGUCACUAGCUAAUUUACUUACAUUGGUAGAUGAUAUUUGCUAUUAUGCUGGUGAUAGAUCAGUUGAUAUAAAUUGGUAUACUAGAAGAAUAGUAUUAGCAGGUAUUUAUAAAACUACAGAGUUGUACAUGUUACAAGACAGUAGUGAGGAUCAUAAAAAAACUUGGAGUUUUUUGGAAAGGCGAAUAAAAGAUGCAACGCAAAUUCAUAAAAUUCUAACAACAACUUCUGACAUGACUUUACCAGAUCAAGCUUUGAAUCGCGCUUCGGAAGCAGCAAGUGCUGCUUUUGUUACGGCACGUAAUAUACUUGGACUGAAUUGGAAUAGGUAGAAGAAAAAGAAAUAAACUAUAGACUGUUUAAUAGGAAAAAGCACGAAGUAUUUUUCCGAGUUGCUAAAUGAAAAUAUACGUAAAAAACUUAUGAAAAGAUGGAUGACCAGGAUACUUAGGUCGUGAAUAACAGAAAACACCUGAUUGACUAUCAUUCA
Molecule: RNA transcript, 1067 nt
Organism: Habropoda laboriosa
Lineage: Eukaryota; Metazoa; Arthropoda; Insecta; Hymenoptera; Apidae
Gene: Coq9
Gene name: ubiquinone biosynthesis protein COQ9, mitochondrial
Exons: 6
Source: RefSeq, a predicted model, not a curated record